CAUAACGACUCUCGGCAACGGAUAUCUCGGCUCUCGCAUCGAUGAAGAACGUAGCGAAAUGCGAUACUUGGUGUGAAUUGCAGAAUCCCGUGAACCAUCGAGUCUUUGAACGCAAGUUGCGCCCCAAGCCUCUGGGCCGAGGGCACGUCUGCCUGGGUGUCACG
This 164-nucleotide ribosomal RNA is filed under the name Dimocarpus longan. Its description in RNAcentral is "5.8S ribosomal RNA". It matches the Rfam family "5.8S ribosomal RNA". From Rfam's summary of the family: 5.8S ribosomal RNA (5.8S rRNA) is a component of the large subunit of the eukaryotic ribosome. It is transcribed by RNA polymerase I as part of the 45S precursor that also contains 18S and 28S rRNA. The record is from RNAcentral. Lineage: Eukaryota; Viridiplantae; Streptophyta; Magnoliopsida; Sapindales; Sapindaceae.